Molecule: long non-coding RNA, 307 nt
Filed under: Elaeis guineensis (African oil palm)
Lineage: Eukaryota; Viridiplantae; Streptophyta; Magnoliopsida; Arecales; Arecaceae
Description: long non-coding RNA (EGUI_LNC028094)
Source: RNAcentral
CCACGCCCUCUCUUCUCCUCCCUUUCUCUUCUCCCUUGGGCGUCCCACACACCCCACCUUUGGGCAUCCCAAAUCCACAUGCCCAUAAGGGAUUUGGCAUCCCCCUUUGAGUGCUAGUUCUUGGUGUUUGGUAGCAGCAUAUACAAGGGAGAAAGAUAAGAGAAGAAGAGAAGAAGAAGAUCAAGAAAAGAGAUCAAAGAAUUGAUUACGAUCCAGGCUUCGUUCAGAUUCACAUGCUAAAUUUUUUUAGAGAAGAAAAUUCAAUCUUAAGAGGGCUGUUCCAGACUGAUCCUGAGUGGAUACCCAU